AAAAAUAAAAAUGAAGAAACUGAGGUCCAGUUUGAGGGACUUCUCCAAUUUUGUGCAGCUAAUAAAUAGUUAAAUCAGAAUUCCAACUAAGGUGUGUCUGACAGAAGGGACCAUGAAUUUGGGGCUCUACCAGCCCCCUGCAGAUCAGGUGUUUCUCACAUCUGUCAUCUGCUUGCUGUAUCUCAUUGACUAGCUGGUCUUAACUUAUGACAGAUGAGGUUUAUGGGCUCUCUGAACCCUAAUGUUGUGUAAAACAUUUAAUGAAAAUGAAUUUAUGAACCCAAGAGAGGUUUGGAUCAACAGAUACUUAUGAGAAUCUAUGUUUCUGCCUCUCCCCCCAAAACUGAAGAAUUUCUCCAUCUACUGUUCUACUGUUCUUAAAUAUAUUCAGAUUGUCCAUGAACUACAUGCUGCUGGUGAAGCCAUGGUAUCUUCCAAGAGGUUAUAAGUCUAGAUAUAUACACAAAUACCUAUAUUUCUACUUUAAGAAGAAAAAGAAGCACUCUUUAACUCAAAGAGAAUUAAUCUGUUCAUGACACAUCCAAGUAGUUUUUGGGAAUAGGAACCCCAGGGAGAGUCACAAUAGAAACUGACAGAAAGGAUUGUAGGAAGUCAAAGUUUUCUCUAUUAAAAAUGAUUAUCUCCCAGCAUACUAGAUUACUUACUUAUUUUACUUGUUAUUUUAUGGUAUGUGUCCCUGCUGCACUAGACUGUAAGGUAGAGAUUUCAUCUGCUUUGUUCGUUUCUGUGUCCCCAGUUCCUAGAAUACCACCUAUAACAUUAUCAACAUUUAGUCAGGAUUUGUUGGAUGAAUGAAUGAAUGAAUGAAUGAAGAUAAUAUGGUUUAUUCCUUGAUUUAUCAAGGCAGCCUCUAGUCUUUCCAUGGGGAACAAGCAAGUUCACAAAGUUCACAAAAGAAAUAGUAAGGAAUGUGGUAAAAACUUUCUGAUUAUAAGACUGGAACAAUUAUAAGCAUUUUCGAAAGCUCACUCAACACUUUGCAGUAAAACAGGGUGUGGCUUUUCUAACCCUUAACUAUCCCAAGGAGAAAAAGGAAAAAACAUGAGUAUUCUUGUGAUUGAAAGAUACCUCAUCACCACCUAAGAAUGAUGGGUUUCUUUCAUUGUAACAAAAGUAUCUGCCUUCCUGGUGCCUCAAACAGAGUAAAUGUCCAAUAGAUAGUUAUUGACUCAUCGAAUGAAUAAGUGAAUUAGAGAAUGAAUGAAUGCCAUAUAUUGCCCAUUUCAGUAAAUAUUAAGGCAAGAAAAGCAA
Long non-coding RNA from Mustela erminea (ermine), 1272 nucleotides. RefSeq lists it as uncharacterized. The transcript is spliced from 2 exons. NCBI's taxonomy places the organism in Eukaryota, Metazoa, Chordata, Mammalia, Carnivora, Mustelidae. The record is from RefSeq and is a predicted model, not a curated record.